RNAcentral lists this long non-coding RNA (364 nucleotides) under Homo sapiens (human). RNAcentral's name for it is "non-protein coding lnc-ADCY2-5:1". Lineage: Eukaryota; Metazoa; Chordata; Mammalia; Primates; Hominidae. The record is from RNAcentral.
ACAGUUAUGGGAGCACAUUUUUGAACACAGGCUCCCACCUUCAACUUAUCACUUCCUUACCUUUGCUGGGGUACCUGAUGACUUUAAAGAGACUGUUUCUUUGGAGAAGGUGGAAUACGCUUAAAGAUUGGAAUGGAUACAACCAAACCACCAUAAAAGCCUUAUGUGGAACAUGGCAGACCUCUCUCAAUCAAAAUCCCGAUACGACCACAGGGAAUGACCGCCCUCAUGGGCCAGCUUUGGACUGUCAUGUGAAUGACAAGUAAAGUCUUACUGUGAUUAAGCAUUGUACAGUUUGGAGUCUGCUGGAUAGAGUAUCCAGCAACACCCUAGCCAAUGCAGUAUUUGAUGCCUUAAACUUCAC